UGUCACUAAGCAGAACGUUACAUUAAAUGUCAGUAAGUCAGGUUGGCAGAGAACAUGGUUAAAAUGUUCUGUACCCUGAUGAUUUUUUUUUCUGUGACUGCUCCAUUCAUGAUUGGGCGUGGUGGAAGAGUCAACCUCGGACCAUACCGGAGGACUUGCUUAGAUCUCCUCUCGUCUGCUCACACCCCACAUAGCUUAAAGCCUUUCCACUUGAUGGUAAGCAACCAAUCAACAUGUAUGGUCGUGG
Molecule: long non-coding RNA, 247 nt
Filed under: Rattus norvegicus (Norway rat)
Lineage: Eukaryota; Metazoa; Chordata; Mammalia; Rodentia; Muridae
Description: long non-coding RNA NONRATT015985
Source: RNAcentral